CCUACGGGAGGCAGCAGUGAGGAAUAUUGGUCAAUGGGCGCUAGCCUGAACCAGCCAAGUAGCGUGAAGGAUGACUGCCCUAUGGGUUGUAAACUUCUUUUAUAUGGGAAUAAAGUGCAGUAUGUAUACUGCUUUGCAUGUACCUUAUGAAUAAGGAUCGGCUAACUCCGUGCCAGCAGCCGCGGUAAUACGGAGGAGCCGAGCGUUAUCCGGAUUUAUUGGGUUUAAAGGGAGCGUAGGCGGGUUGUUAAGUCAGUUGUGAAAGUUUGCGGCUCAACCGUAAAAUCGCAGUUGAUACUGGCAGCCUUGAGUACAGUAGAGGUAGGCGGAAUUCGUGGUGUAGCGGUGAAAUGCUUAGAUAUCACGAAGAACUCCGAUUGCGAAGGCAGCCUGCUGGACUGUAACUGACGCUGAUGCUCGAAAGUGUGGGUAUCAAACAGGAUUAGAUACCCGAGUAGUC
This 460-nucleotide ribosomal RNA is filed under the name uncultured bacterium. RNAcentral describes it as "partial 16S ribosomal RNA". It matches the Rfam family "Bacterial small subunit ribosomal RNA", at positions 338 to 795 of the family's 1533-position model. The record is from RNAcentral.